GCGAAAACUUUACAAUGCUGGCAACAGCGAUAAGGGAACCUCGAGUGCCAGGUUACAAAUCUGGCUGUCGAGAUGCCUAAAAAGCAUUUCAUAGCAAGGGCCGGGCAAGACCGGUGCCAGCCGCCGCGGUAACACCGGCGGCUCGAGUGGUAACCGUUAUUAUUGGGUCUAAAGGGUCUGUAGCCGGCCGGAUAAGUCUCUUGUGAAAUCUGGCAGCUUAACUGUCAGGCUUUCAGGAGAUACUGUCUGGCUCGAGGCCGGGAGAGGUGAGAGGUACUUCAGGGGUAGGGGUGAAAUCUUGUAAUCCUUGAAGGACCACCAGUGGCGAAGGCGUCUCACCAGGACGGACCUGACGGCAAGGGACGAAAGCUAGGGGCACGAACC
This 384-nucleotide ribosomal RNA is filed under the name uncultured prokaryote. Its description in RNAcentral is "bacterial SSU rRNA". It matches the Rfam family "Archaeal small subunit ribosomal RNA", at positions 341 to 725 of the family's 1478-position model. The record is from RNAcentral.